This 1491-nucleotide ribosomal RNA is filed under the name Triticum aestivum (bread wheat). RNAcentral describes it as "partial small subunit ribosomal RNA". The record is from RNAcentral. Lineage: Eukaryota; Viridiplantae; Streptophyta; Magnoliopsida; Poales; Poaceae.
AUGGCCAUGGACUUGUUCCCCGUUGUUUCCGGCCUUGUCAUUUCAUGCAGCAUCAUCGCCAUCAAAGCGACACGGCUACUGGGCUACGCUUUCUCACCCUUCAAGCUCCUCCUGCUCUGCGUGGGCAUGGUGGCUGUGGUGGGGGCGGUAGUGAACCGCCCACGAGCGGUGUACCUCGUGGAUUACGCUUGCUUCCUUCCCAGUCCCACCUCGCGUUUCCCCAACGCAACCUUCAUCGAGCAUGCUCGCCUCGUGCCGGCGUUCGCGGACGAUCGCACUAUCCGCUUCAUGACGCGCGUGCUCAGCAGCAGCGGUAUCGGCGACGAGACUAGCCUGCCCCCCGGCGACCACUUCAUCCCGCCAGACAACAACUUGGACAUGGCGCGCGACGAAGCUGAGCUAAUCAUCUUCUCUGCCAUCGAUGAACUGUUGGCCAAGUCCGGUGUCACCCCUGACGCCAUCGACAUCGUCGUCGUCAACUGCAGCGUCUUCGCCCCCGUGCCGUCCCUCACCGACAUGAUCAUCAACAGAUACGCGCUCCGCAGCGACGUCCGCAGCAUAAAUGUUUCUGGGAUGGGGUGUAGCGCCGGAGUGAUCUCGGUGGGACUCGCGGCUAGCCUUCUUCGUGUGUUGCCCCACGCCCACGGUGCUGCGCACGCUCUCGUCGUGUCCACGGAGACCAUCACGCCCAACCUGUACGUCGGCAAGGAGCGCGCCAUGCUACUGUCCAACUUGCUCUUCCGGGUGGGUGGCGCCGCCGCGCUGCUGUCCACAUCCAAGGACAAGGCGCGGUUUCGCCUCGCCCACCUCGUGCGAACCAUCACCGGCGGCGGACAAGACAGCUCCUACCGGUGCAUCUUCCAAGAGGAGGACGCGGAUGGUAACGUAGGGGUCAUCCUUUCCAAGGACCUGAUGUCGGUGGCCGGCGACGCGCUCAAGGCCAACAUCACAGCCCUUGGCCCGCUCGUGCUCCCCUUCUUCGAGCAGCUGCGCUUCGUCGCCAACAAGCUGGUGCUCGAGCUUGCCCGGCGAGCCGGCGUGAAGCCUUACCUCCCUGACUUCCGCAAGGCCUCACUGCGCUUCGUCGGCGUGAAGCCGUACGUCCCUGACUUUCAGAAGGCGUUCCAGCACGUGUGCAUCCACGCCGGGGGGCGUGCAGUCGUCGACAAGGUCCAGUCGAGCCUCGGGUUGUCGGACGAGCAUGUGGAGCCAUCUCGCAUGACGCUUCACCGGUUCGGGAACACGUCCAGCAGCUCGGUGUGGUACGAGAUGGCAUACGUCGAGGCCAAGGGCCGAUUGCGGAAGGGCGACCGUGUCUGGAUGGUUGGGCUCGGAGCGGGGGUCAAGUGCAACAGCGCCGUCUGGGAAUGCAUCCGUCCCGCAGCCGAGCCAGACAAGGCGUGGGCCGGAUGCAUACGUCGCUACCCAGUAAACAUUCCUGGUCUCAACGUCAAUGCGGCAGCUCAAAAUGACCCCAUAAUUGCAGUGUAG